RNAcentral lists this unclassified non-coding RNA (240 nucleotides) under soil metagenome. Its description in RNAcentral is "partial contains 5.8S ribosomal RNA, internal transcribed spacer 2, and large subunit ribosomal RNA". The record is from RNAcentral.
AACCUAGCACACCUGCGGUGUGUACCUGCGGAAGGAUCAUUACAGAGAACCUGCCCUAUGGGUAGAUCUCCCACCCUUUGUUUACAAUACCUCUGUUGCUUUGGCAGGCCCGUCUUUUUGACCACCGGCUUCGGCUGGUCAGCGCCUGCCAGAGGACCCCAAACUCUAGAUUUUAGCAUUGUCUGAGUGUUGCAUAAAUAAUUAAAACUUUCAACAACGGAUCUCAGAUCGGAAGAGCAC